AAACUUUACAGACGAUGAAACAGGCUCACAGUUGACAGGUAAUUUUUGCAGAAAUCACAAAGUCAAAUUGGCUUCUGGAGUCUGCUGCUCUAUCAUGAUGCCUCCAUGUCACCACUAUUAACUUUGCCUGAAGGAACCAUGACUUGCAGUUUCUACCCCACGUGGUCAGUGACCAUGAAUACAAAUGACCCUUACUCCAGGUGAUUCUGAAGUUUCAGGGAGAUGACAGAUUCCCCCUAAAUUUUGAACAGUAAUAUUAAUUACAGGUAAUAAAAUAUACCAAAACAUCACUACAAAAAUUUAGCAUUACUUCAUCAAGAGGAAUAAACUGAAACUGUCAGUUUCUUGGAAGCGUGAGAGGAUAGUUCAUCCUGCUUUCUAAUACCCACCACCUAUUUGUGACUAUAAACUUCCCACCACUUAUUUAUGGUUCAAGCCUAGGGCAAGAGCUAGCAUUUUAUUUUAAAAAAGAUUUGUUUAAUAAUUUUUCCAUUUGGACAAUGUGAUGGUUAAUACUAGGUGUCAAGCUGAUUGGAUUAAAGGAUGCAAAGUAUUAAUCCUGAGUGUUGUCUGUGAGGGUGUUGCCAAAGGGAUUAACAUUUGAGUCAGUGGGCUGGGGAAGGCAGACCCACCCUUUAUCUGGUAGGUACCAUCUAAUCAGCUACCAGCGAAUAUAAAGCAGGCAGAAAAACCUGAAAAGGCGAGACUGGCCUAGCCUCCCAACCUACAUCUUUCUCCUGUGCUGGAUGCUUCCUGCCCUUGAACAUCACACUCCUAGUUCUUCAGUUUUGGAACUUGGACUGGCUCUCACUGCUCCUCAGCCUGCAGAUGGCCUAGUGAUCGUGUAAGGUAAUACUUAAUAAGCAUCCAUCCAUCCAUCCCAUCCAUCCAUCCAACCAUCCAAUUAGUUCUGUCCCUCUAGAGAACCCUAAUACAAACAGGUAGUGGAAUAUUGAAAGAAAUUUUAUUGGAGCAGCCCAAAAAAGCAUAUGUAACUUAGAGUAAUAGUAAUUAAAUAAGACAGUGAAAUUAAAUAAGAAAAACAUAUUUAGACAGAGUAACAUACCAAGUUUAGUUUCGGGAGAGUUAAGCAGCUGCUCUAAAGACUGUGUGUAUGUGCUGGCGGAAGACACAGACUCCGUAUCAGUUGUCUCCAUGCCUUCUCCCUCUUCCCGGGUUACAGUGUGCAUGUCUAGAAGCGGGAGGUCUGUGUUUCUCCUUUCUCGAAGGUUCUUCAAAGAUUGUUGAGAGGAAACUGGGCCUAUUAGAUUUUUUUAAAAGGUUAAGUGUGAGAUUGUUCAAAAUCUAUUGAUUUGGCCUUACAGAGAUACACAAUAAAAUGAAAAUAUCAAAUGAUAAGAGUAGAGGAAUUAAGUAACUAUAAGAUAAGUGAAAGGUGUAUGAAGAAUUGCUAAAGCAUUUCUUAAAAUUUAGUCAUCAAAGCUGGGCGUGGUGGCUCAAAUCUGUAAUCCUAGCAGUUUGGGAGGCUAAGGUGGGUGGAUCACGAGGUCAGCAAGUUCAAGACCAGCCUGGCCAAGAUGGUGAAACCCUAUCUCUACUAAAAAUACAAAAAUCAGCCAGGCACGGUGGCAGGUGCCUGUAAUCCCAGCUGCUGGGGAGGCUGAGGCAGAGAAUUGCUGGAAACCAGGAGGCGGAGGUUGCAGUGAGCCAAGAUCACACCACUGCACUCCAGCCUGGCGACAGAGUGAGACUCCAGCUCAAAAACAAAACAAACAAACAAAAACUUAGUAAUCAAACUUUUAAAUACGUUACUCAUUUUAAUAGAAGCUAUAAAUUAAUUGCUACUAGCUAAGAUAAACUGUUAGAUAACACAGCUCAUAAUAUAGUACUACUUAUUUUUUAUUAAUUUAGAGUAGAGGGCCAAACUACUGCUAAAUACUGGCCAAAAUUAAAAGACUAGAUUCUAGCAAUUUUUCAGGAUUAGGUAUUUCAGAUUGCUGCAUACUUCUUGAAACACACUUGUUGAAAUCUGCUUGGCAGACAUCCUCAAUCACUGCCCUUAUACCUUUACCUCUGCAGCUUCUUAAUUGUUGCUGCUCACACCUACAGUGCUCAUACAGUAAGAGCCCAGAAUCCAGGGCACGGAACUAAUCAAUUACAUUGUCUAGCAAGACUUUCCUGUUUGCUGAUAAACUGUAUAGUGUUUUUUUUUUUUCUGAGACAGGGUCUCACUCUGUCACACAGGUUGGAGUGUAGUGGCACGAUCUUGGCUCACAGCAACCUCUGCCUCCCAGGCUCAGGCCAUCCUCCCACCUCAGCCCCACAAGUAGCUGGGACUUCCAGGUGCAUGCUAUCCCACCCAGAUAAUUUUUGUACUUUUAAUAGAGAUGGGAUUUCACCAUGUUGUUCAGACUGGUCUCAAACUCCUGGCCUCAUGUGAUCCACCUGCCUUGGCUCCCAAAGUGCUGAGAUUGCAGGGGUGAGACACCACGCCUGGUCUAAACUGUAAAGUUUACCAGGCCCUUUGACAUGUAUUGGUUUAUUGACUCCCAAAAAUCUGAAGUUCAGAGAAAUUUAAUGACUUUGCCCAAGGUCUCAUAACUGAGUUAGAAACCAGAAUUGUAAUCUAGAUUUUUAAACUUCAGAUUUCAUUUAUUUUGCAUUUCAUUAAGUUGCCUUAGUCCUGACUGCCCUUUUUGAAGCUUUUUCCUGGGUUUCUGGUAAGCUGACUGCUUAUUCCACUGCUGAUUGCUAGAUUACAAUCUCUUGUGCGACCUUUGCCCUGGCUGAUUACUUCCUUUGUUGAUUCUUUGGCAUAUGUUAAAUUCUU
RNAcentral lists this long non-coding RNA (2791 nucleotides) under Homo sapiens (human). RNAcentral's name for it is "non-protein coding lnc-EDAR-10:1". Lineage: Eukaryota; Metazoa; Chordata; Mammalia; Primates; Hominidae. The record is from RNAcentral.